This 446-nucleotide ribosomal RNA is filed under the name uncultured bacterium. Its description in RNAcentral is "bacterial SSU rRNA". It matches the Rfam family "Bacterial small subunit ribosomal RNA", at positions 328 to 793 of the family's 1533-position model. The record is from RNAcentral.
CUCUGUGACUCCUACGGGAGCAGCAGUGGGAAUAUUGCACAAUGGGCGCAAGCCUGAUGCAGCAACGCCGCGUGAGCGAUGAAGGCCUUCGGGUCGUAAAGCUCUGUCCUCAAGGAAGAAUAAAUGACGGUACUUGAGGAGGAAGCCCCCGGCUAACUACGUGCCAGCAGCCGCGGUAAUACGUAGGGGCAAGCGUUAUCCGGAAUCACUGGGCGUAAAGGGUGCGUAGGCGGUUUUCAAGUCAGAAGUGAAAGGCUAUGGCUCAACCAUAGUAAGCUUUUGAAACUGUUAAACUUGAGUGCAGGAGAGGAAAGUGGAAUUCCUAGUGUAGAGGUGAAAUUCGUAGAUAUUAGGAGGAACACCAGUGGCGAAGGCGACUUUCUGGACUGUAACUGACGCUGAGGCACGAAAGCGUGGGGAGCGAACAGGAUUAGAUACCCUUGUAG